ACACUUUUCGUGAUGUUAUUAUAUUAUUGUGAAUGAAUAUAUAUAUAUGGAUUAAGAUGAAUAUAUAUAUAUAGAGCUAGGCUGGUAUACUAUCGGUAGCACGGAGAUCUCCGUGCUACCAAGUUGUUUUCAAUGAUACAGCUUCUAAAUCGACGAUCGGCUUCGUUAGACUUGAUCUACGCUAUUAAAAGUAUUUAGAAAUUAAAUUUCAUAAUUUUUCAACAUCAUUUGACUUGUGAUCAAAAGGUCUCAAAAUUGAUAAUUUUAACGGUAGAUUUGAUGCGUUUGUGAAUUUAACGGUGUAAACCAAUCCAAAUCUGAUGAAAUUUUUAUAGAAAAUUCUUUUCACUAUUUAAAGUAAUAUCAGCACCUCUGAUCUUAAAUUCAAGUCUUUUAUCAUCAUUUUUUAUGAUAUUUUUAUUUUCAGCCGUUCAUUUUUAGACUACUCGUUUGAUAGGUAAAUGAUGCCGAAAAAUUGUGAAAUUUAGAUUCCAAAUACUUUCAAUAAUGUAGAUCAAGUUUAACAGAGCCGAUCGUCGAUUUGGAAGCCACAGCAUUGAAAACAAUUUGGUAGCACGGAGGUCUCCGUGCUACCAAUAGUAUACCAGCCUAACUAUAUAUAUAU
This 625-nucleotide long non-coding RNA is filed under the name Ananas comosus (pineapple). RNAcentral's name for it is "long non-coding RNA (ACOM_LNC027716)". The record is from RNAcentral. Lineage: Eukaryota; Viridiplantae; Streptophyta; Magnoliopsida; Poales; Bromeliaceae.